This 327-nucleotide ribosomal RNA is filed under the name Triticum aestivum (bread wheat). RNAcentral's name for it is "partial small subunit ribosomal RNA". Lineage: Eukaryota; Viridiplantae; Streptophyta; Magnoliopsida; Poales; Poaceae. The record is from RNAcentral.
AUGACUAGUCUUUGCUAUGGCGAGACUAGGGGAGUAACACAAGGUAGAAUAAAGAGCAUUGAUUUUCCCACAAUACAAUACUUUGCCUUAUUUAAUGGAAAAUGUAUUGUAGGUAAACAAGAUUGUAGUACACUUUGUGCUCUAGACUUGAGCCUCAUACGCGCCGCUCUCACCGGUGACAAAAGUUAUAAUCUUGGAGUGAUUGUUGCACGCAGGUUGCAACACAACACUGGUAGUGGAUAUUUUUAUGGGGGAAUCUGUGCCACACAUUUAGCAAGAGAGUUGGGUGUUUCACCUUUGCCCUAUGAGCCUAUUUUACCCACGUAG